GAGCUCAACUCCAGAACUGCCAUUGAUACUAUCUGUCUUGAAUAUUGUGGAGGUAAGCGGAAUAUGUCAUGUAGCGGUGAAAUGCUUAGAUAUGACAUAGAACACCCAUUGCGAAGGCAGCUUACUACGCAUAUAUUGACGCUGAGGCACGAAAGCGUGGGGAUCAAACAGGAUUAGAUACCCUGGUAGUCCACGCCCUAAACGAUGGAUACUCGACAUACGCGAUACACUGUGUGUGUCUGAGCGAAAGCAUUAAGUAUCCCACCUGGGAAGUACGUUCGCAAGAAUGAAACUCAAAGGAAUUGGCGGGGGUCCGCACAAGCGGAGGAGUAUGUGGUUUAAUUCGAUGAUACGCGAGGAACCUUACCUGGGCUAGAAUGCUGGGAGACCGUGGGUGAAAGCUCACUUUGUAGCAAUACACUGCCAGUAAGGUGCUGCAUGGCUGUCGUCAGCCUCGUGCCGUGAGGUGUUGGGUUAAGUCCCGCAACGAGCGCAACCCCUAUCAUUAGUUGCCAACAGGUUAAGCUGGGAACUCUAAUGAAACUGCCGCCGUAAGGUGUGAGGAAGGAGGGGAUGAUGUCAAGUCAUCAUGGCCUUUAUGCCCAGGGCUACACACGUGCUACAAUGGACGGUACAGAGAGCAGCCACUGGGUGACCAGGAGCGAAUCUACAAAACCGUUCUCAGUUCGGAUCGGAGU
This 698-nucleotide ribosomal RNA is filed under the name uncultured bacterium. Its description in RNAcentral is "bacterial SSU rRNA". It matches the Rfam family "Bacterial small subunit ribosomal RNA", at positions 605 to 1304 of the family's 1533-position model. The record is from RNAcentral.